GACGAACGCUGGCGGCGUGCCUAACACAUGCAAGUCGAGCGGGGUGGAGGCGAGAGGUAACUCAAGCUUCUACCUAGCGGCGGACGGGUGAGUAACGCGUGGGCAACCUGCCUCAAGGAUCGGGAUAACAGCUCGAAAGGGCUGCUAAUACCGGAUAUGCCUAUGGCCUCGCAUGGGGCUGUGGGCAAAGGGGAAACCCGCCUUGAGAUGGGCCCGCGUCCCAUCAGCUAGUUGGUGAGGUGAAGGCUCACCCAAGGCGACGACGGGUAGCCGGCCCUGAGAGGGUGACCGGCCACACUGGGACUGAGACACGGCCCAGACUCCUACGGGGGCAGCAGUGGGGAUCUUGCACAAUGGGCGAAAGCCUGAUGCAGCGACGCCGCGUGAGCGAAGAAGGCCUUCGGUGUAAAGUUCUUUAUAUGUGAGCAGUGCUUCUUAUAUUAACAGUAAUGGGGUAGAGAGAUAUUAGCUAUAUGAAUAAGACAACGG
This 489-nucleotide ribosomal RNA is filed under the name uncultured bacterium. RNAcentral's name for it is "bacterial SSU rRNA". It matches the Rfam family "Bacterial small subunit ribosomal RNA", at positions 28 to 496 of the family's 1533-position model. The record is from RNAcentral.